CCUACGGGGGGCUGCAGUGGGGAAUAUUGGACAAUGGGGGGAACCCUGAUCCAGCCAUGCCGCGUAUGUGAAGAAGGCCCUCGGGUUGUAAAGCACUUUCAGUGAGGAAGAACGCCUGGUGGUUAAUACCCAUCAGGAAAGACAUCACUCACAGAAGAAGCACCGGCUAACUCCGUGCCAGCAGCCGCGGUAAUACGGAGGGUGCGAGCGUUAAUCGGAAUUACUGGGCGUAAAGCGCGCGUAGGUGGCUUGAUAAGCCGGUUGUGAAAGCCCCGGGCUCAACCUGGGAACGGCAUCCGGAACUGUCAAGCUAGAGUGCAGGAGAGGAAGGUAGAAUUCCCGGUGUAGCGGUGAAAUGCGUAGAGAUCGGGAGGAAUACCAGUGGCGAAGGCGGCCUUCUGGACUGACACUGACACUGAGGUGCGAAAGCGUGGGUAGCAAACAGGAUUAGAUACCCCUGUAGUC
This 465-nucleotide ribosomal RNA is filed under the name Vreelandella stevensii. Its description in RNAcentral is "partial 16S ribosomal RNA". It matches the Rfam family "Bacterial small subunit ribosomal RNA", at positions 338 to 795 of the family's 1533-position model. The record is from RNAcentral. Lineage: Bacteria; Pseudomonadati; Pseudomonadota; Gammaproteobacteria; Oceanospirillales; Halomonadaceae.